Molecule: ribosomal RNA, 253 nt
Filed under: uncultured bacterium
Lineage: Bacteria
Description: partial 16S ribosomal RNA
Rfam family: Bacterial small subunit ribosomal RNA
Source: RNAcentral
UACGUAGGGGGCGAGCGUUGUCCGGAUUUAUUGGGCGUAAAGGGCUCGUAGGCGGCCAACUAAGUCAGACGUGAAAUCCCUCGGCUUAACCGGGGAACUGCGUCUGAUACUGGAUGGCUUGAAUCCGGGAGAGGGAUGCGGAAUUCCUGGUGUAGCGGUGAAAUGCGCAGAUAUCAGGAGGAACACCGAUGGCGAAGGCAGGUCUCUGGGCAUUAACUGACGCUGAGGAGCGAAAGCGUGGGGAGCGAACAGG